GAAAUGCGAUACGUAGUGUGAAUUGCAGAAUUCAGUGAAUCAUCGAAACCUUGAACGCAUCUUGCGCUUGUGGUCACCCACAAGCAUGCCUGUUUGAGUGUCGUUAUUCAUUCUCAUUCCACAAACUUAAAACCUUUGCGGAAGUGGACAUUGGGCAUCUAUCGAAUUCCUUCGAUAGUUGCUUUAAAGUGAGAGGGGACUUGGUAAAAUAGACGGAAACAAUUUGUUUCAAUGUUCUUGCAGUCCAAAGGAUGUGCUUUAACAUGCAUUUUUUUGUGUGACUUCACAUUCGGCGGUGCUGCCUUUGUCCGAAAGGAAAGAGCGGAGAGCAGUGGUUUUGACUAUUUUUUAUGCCCUUUUUUUUUAAAAAUAAAUCUUUCAACUUUGCGACCUCAAAUCA
Molecule: unclassified non-coding RNA, 400 nt
Filed under: uncultured fungus
Lineage: Eukaryota; Fungi
Description: sequence contains ITS1
Rfam family: 5.8S ribosomal RNA (bases 1-103)
Source: RNAcentral